Molecule: ribosomal RNA, 261 nt
Filed under: uncultured bacterium
Lineage: Bacteria
Description: partial 16S ribosomal RNA
Rfam family: Bacterial small subunit ribosomal RNA
Source: RNAcentral
AGCAAUGCUCUGACGGCGACCGGCGGAAGGGUGCGUAACACGUGAGCGACUUGCCCGUCACAGGGGGAUAACCGGCGGAAACGGCGACUAAUACCCCAUAUGCUGCGAUGCUGCAUGGCAUUGCAAUGAAAGAUUCAUCGGUGGCGGAUAGGCUCGCGGGACAUUAGCUAGACGGCGGGGCAACGGCCCACCGUGGCGACGAUGUCUAGGGGUUCUGAGAGGAAGACCCCCACACUGGGACUGAGACACGGCCCAGACUCC